AGGAUGAACGCUGGCGGUCUGCUUAACACAUGCAAGUCGAACGGAGUAGCAAUACUUAGUGGCGGACGGGUGAGUAACGCGUGAGAAUCUACCUUCAGGACGGAGACAACAGUUGGAAACGACUGCUAACCCCCGAUGUACCGAAAGGGCAAAUAUUUAUAGCCUGAAGAAGAGCUCGCGUCCGAUUAGCUAGUUGGAGAGGUAAAAGCUCACCAAGGCGACGAUCGGUAGCUGGUCUGAGAGGACGAUCAGCCACACUGGGACUGAGACACGGCCCAGACUCCUACGGGAGGCAGCAGUGGGGAAUAUUGCGCAAUGGGCGAAAGCCUGACGCAGCGACGCCGCGUGGGGGAUGAAUGCCUUCGGGUUGUAAACCCUUUCAGCAGGGACGAAGCGAAAGUGACGGUACCUGCAGAAGAAGCGCCGGCUAACUACGUGCCAGCAGCCGC
RNAcentral lists this ribosomal RNA (449 nucleotides) under uncultured bacterium. Its description in RNAcentral is "SSU rRNA". It matches the Rfam family "Bacterial small subunit ribosomal RNA", at positions 26 to 518 of the family's 1533-position model. The record is from RNAcentral.